CCUACGGGAGGCAGCAGUAGGGAAUCUUGCACAAUGGGCGCAAGCCUGAUGGAGCAAUGCCGCGUGGGUGAAGAAGGCCUUCGGAUCGUAAAACACUGUUGUUAGAGAAGAAAGUGCGUGAGAUUAACUGUUCACGUUUCGACGGUACCUAACCAGAAAGCCACGGCUAACUACGUGCCAGCAGCCGCGGUAAUACGUAGGUGGCAAGCGUUAUCCGGAUUUAUUGGGCGUAAAGGGAACGCAGGCGGUCUGUUAAGUCUGAUGUGAAAGCCUUGGGCUUAACCGGGGAAGUGCAUUGGAAACUGGGAGACUUGAGUGCAGAAGAGGGGGGUGGAACUCCAGGUGUAGCGGUGAAAUGCGUAGAUAUAUGGAGGAACACCAGUGGCGAAGGCGGCUCUCUGGUCUGUAACUGACGCUGAGGUUCGAAAGCGUGGGUAGCAAACAGGAUUAGAUACCCCUGUAGUC
RNAcentral lists this ribosomal RNA (465 nucleotides) under uncultured bacterium. RNAcentral describes it as "partial 16S ribosomal RNA". It matches the Rfam family "Bacterial small subunit ribosomal RNA", at positions 338 to 795 of the family's 1533-position model. The record is from RNAcentral.